UACAGAGGUCUCAAGCGUUGUUCGGAUUCAUUGGGCGUAAAGGGUGUGUAGGUGGCGCGCUAAGUCGGGUGUGAAAUUUCGGAGCUUAACUCCGAAACUGCAUUCGAUACUGGCGUGCUUGAGGACUGGAGAGGAGACUGGAAUUUACGGUGUAGCAGUGAAAUGCGUAGAUAUCGUAAGGAAGACCAGUGGCGAAGGCGGAUCUCUGGACAGUUACUGACACUGAGGCACGAAGGCCAGGGGAGCAAACGGG
RNAcentral lists this ribosomal RNA (253 nucleotides) under uncultured bacterium. RNAcentral's name for it is "partial 16S ribosomal RNA". It matches the Rfam family "Bacterial small subunit ribosomal RNA", at positions 524 to 776 of the family's 1533-position model. The record is from RNAcentral.